UCGAGAAUUUUUCACAAUGGGCGCAAGCCUGAUGGAGCGACGCCGCGUGGGGGAUGAAUGGCUUCGGCCCGUAAACCCCUGUCAUUUGCGAACAAACCUUGCUAUUUAAAAGAUGGCGAGCUGAUUGUAGCGAAAGAGGAAGGGACGGCUAACUCUGUGCCAGCAGCCGCGGUAAUACAGAGGUCCCAAGCGUUGUUCGGAUUCACUGGGCGUAAAGGGUGCGUAGGUGGUGGAGUAAGUCGGAUGUGAAAGCUCGGAGCUCAACUCCGAAAUGGCAUUGGAAACUACUCCGCUAGAGGAUCGGAGGGGAGACUGGAAUUCUCGGUAUAGCAGUGAAAUGCGUAGAUAUCGAGAGGAACACCAGUGGCGAAGGCGAGUCUCUGGACGAUUCCUGACGCUGAGGCACGAAAGCCAGGGGAGCAAACGG
Molecule: ribosomal RNA, 427 nt
Filed under: uncultured bacterium
Lineage: Bacteria
Description: bacterial SSU rRNA
Rfam family: Bacterial small subunit ribosomal RNA
Source: RNAcentral